UCCAAUCGAACCCGGAGAUAGCUGGUUCUCCUCGAAAUAGCUUUAGGGCUAGCCUCGCAUUAGUUUACCGGAGGUAGAGCACUGAAUGGUCUAGGGGGCCUCACCGCCUACCGAAACCUAUCAAACUGCGAAUGCCGGAUAAAUGAUGUGCGGGAGUCAGGCCGCGAGAGAUAAGUUCCGCGGUCAAAAGGGGAACACCCCAGAUCGUCUGCUAAGGUCCCUAAGUACGCGUUAAGUGGGAAAGGAUGUUGGAUUGCACAGACAACCAGGAUGUUGGCUUAGAAGCAGCCACACAUUCAAAGAGUGCGUAAUAGCUCACUGGUCGAGUGAUCCAGCGCCGAAAAUGUAACGGGGCUAAAACGCGACACCGAAGCAGCGGGAUGCGUAAGCAUCGGUAGAGGAGCAUUGUGUGAGGGUUGAAGCCAGAGCGGGAGCACUGGUGGACUUCACAGAAGAGAGAAUGCCGGUAUGAGUAGCGAGACCCAUGCGAGAAACAUGGGCGUCGAAGGCCCAAGGUUUCCUGGGGAAGGUUCAUCCACCCAGGGUAAGUCGGGACCUAAGCCGAGGACUGAGGUCGUAGGCGAUGGACAGCAGGUAGAGAUUCCUGCACCACUUACACUUGUUUGACGAAGCAGUGACACAGAAGGAUAGGACGAGCGCGGUGAUGGUCAACCGCGUAGGCGGCACGAGGCCGGGAAGCAGUGAAGUACACUUCCCGCAAAGGCUGAGUGUUGACAGGACCGAAAAGAAGUAGGGAAGCGUCUGAGUUCACGCUGGCGAGAAAAGCUGCUAAGGAGAGUGUGAGUGCCCGUACCGGAAACCGACGCAGGUGGGCGAGGAGAGAAUCCUGAGACGGACGGGAGAACUCUUGUUAAGGAACUCGGCAAAAUGACCCCGUAACUUCGGGAGAAGGGGUGCCUCGAAAGAGGCCGCAGAGAAUAGUCACAAGCGACUGUUUAGCAAAAACACAGGUAUCUGCGAAAGCGAGAGCUGACGUAUAGGUGCUGACGCCUGCCCGGUGCUGGAAGGUUAAGGGGAAGUGUUAGGGGAAACCCGAAGCAGAGAACCGAAGCCCCAGUAAACGGCGGCCGUAACUAUAACGGUCCUAAGGUAGCGAAAUUCCUUGUCGGGUAAGUUCCGACCCGCACGAA
RNAcentral lists this ribosomal RNA (1151 nucleotides) under human gut metagenome. RNAcentral's name for it is "bacterial LSU rRNA". It matches the Rfam family "Bacterial large subunit ribosomal RNA", at positions 828 to 1996 of the family's 2925-position model. The record is from RNAcentral.